UGGGGAAUUUUGGACAAUGGACGCAAGUCUGAUCCAGCCAUGCCGCGUGCGGGAAGAAGGCCUUCGGGUUGUAAACCGCUUUUGUCAGGGAAGAAACGAGUUUCUCUAAUACAGAGACUUAAUGACGGUACCUGAAGAAUAAGCACCGGCUAACUACGUGCCAGCAGCCGCGGUAAUACGUAGGGUGCAAGCGUUAAUCGGAAUUACUGGGCGUAAAGCGUGCGCAGGCGGUUAUGCAAGACAGAGGUGAAAUCCCCGGGCUCAACCUGGGAACUGCCUUUGUGACUGCAUAGCUAGAGUACGGUAGAGGGGGAUGGAAUUCCGCGUGUAGCAGUGAAAUGCGUAGAUAUGCGGAGGAACACCGAUGGCGAAGGCAGCUGGCUACACAUAUAUUGACACUGAGGCUCGAAAGCGUGGGGAUCAAACA
This 427-nucleotide ribosomal RNA is filed under the name uncultured bacterium. RNAcentral's name for it is "bacterial SSU rRNA". It matches the Rfam family "Bacterial small subunit ribosomal RNA", at positions 355 to 774 of the family's 1533-position model. The record is from RNAcentral.